AAACAGUAGAGCGCGCUUUAGCUUUAAAUUUAACGUCGAUUUUCAACUUGCUAUAGUUCUGCCGCGAAAUUUUUUUGAAACCGACGCAUGUUCGAUGUACAUGUUAGACAUAACGAUUAUCAGGCUGUAUGCUCUACUCCAACUCCGAACACGUCUAGAGCACGAAAUAUACGCGAAUAAUGCGUCAGAUCAAAGUGGAAAUUUAUUCUCUAUGACGACGUAUGUAACCCUGAUCAUCUAAAUAUUAUUAUUAUUAUUGUACCACAUUAUAUAUCGCGUAUGAUAUCUGUAAAAAAAAUUUUUU
Molecule: long non-coding RNA, 304 nt
Organism: Planococcus citri (citrus mealybug)
Lineage: Eukaryota; Metazoa; Arthropoda; Insecta; Hemiptera; Pseudococcidae
Exons: 2
Source: RefSeq, a predicted model, not a curated record